UAAUAAGUUGUUUUAUGGCACUUAUUAAAUCCAUAUCCACCUUGUGUGCAAUGUCAGUCGAUACUUCUUCAUGGAGGAUCGACCAAACAUCAACCUUUAUACCUUUUAACAUCUCUUUGGUCUGAAAAAUAUUAUGAAUAAAACAAUUCAAAAUA
This 155-nucleotide unclassified non-coding RNA is filed under the name soil metagenome. RNAcentral describes it as "partial internal transcribed spacer 1". The record is from RNAcentral.